RNAcentral lists this ribosomal RNA (464 nucleotides) under uncultured Methanosaeta sp. RNAcentral describes it as "bacterial SSU rRNA". It matches the Rfam family "Archaeal small subunit ribosomal RNA", at positions 875 to 1338 of the family's 1478-position model. The record is from RNAcentral. Lineage: Archaea; Methanobacteriati; Methanobacteriota; Methanomicrobia; Methanotrichales; Methanotrichaceae.
AGCACCACAACGGGUGGAGCUUGCGGUUUUAAUUGGAUUCAACGCCGGAAAUCUUACCGGGACCGACAGCAUAUGAAGGCCAGGCUGAAGACUUUGCCGGAUUAGCUGAGAGGUGGUGCAUGGCCGUCGUCAGUUCGUACUGUGAAGCAUCCUGUUAAGUCAGGCAACGAGCGAGACCCACGCCCACAGUUGCCAGCGUACUCUCCGGAGUGACGGGUACACUGUGGGGACCGCCGCUGCUAAAGCGGAGGAAGGAAUGGGCAACGGUAGGUCAGUAUGCCCCGAAUAUCCCGGGCUACACGCGAGCUACAAUGGUUGGUACAAUGGGUAUCUACCCCGAAAGGGGACGGGAAUCUCCUAAAACCAAUCUUAGUUCGGAUUGAGGGCUGCAACUCGCCCUCAUGAAGCUGGAAUCCGUAGUAAUCGCGUUUCAACAGAACGCGGUGAAUACGUCCCUGCUCCUU